This 492-nucleotide ribosomal RNA is filed under the name uncultured bacterium. RNAcentral describes it as "partial 16S ribosomal RNA". It matches the Rfam family "Bacterial small subunit ribosomal RNA", at positions 29 to 507 of the family's 1533-position model. The record is from RNAcentral.
AGUGAACGCUGGCGGUAGGCCUAACACAUGCAAGUCGAACGGCAGCACAGUAAGAGCUUGCUCUUACGGGUGGCGAGUGGCGGACGGGUGAGGAAUACAUCGGAAUCUACUUUUUCGUGGGGGAUAACGUAGGGAAACUUACGCUAAUACCGCAUACGACCUACGGGUGAAAGCAGGGGAUCUUCGGACCUUGCGCGAUUGAAUGAGCCGAUGUCGGAUUAGCUAGUUGGCGGGGUAAAGGCCCACCAAGGCGACGAUCCGUAGCUGGUCUGAGAGGAUGAUCAGCCACACUGGAACUGAGGCACGGUCCAGACUCAUACGGGAGGCAGCAGUGGGGAAUAUUGGACAAUGGGCGCAAGCCUGAUCCAGCCAUACCGCGUGGGUGAAGAAGGCCUUCGGGUUGUAAAGCCCUUUUGUUGGGAAAGAAAAGCAGCAGGUUAAUACCCCGCUGUUCUGACGGUACCCAAAGAAUAAGCACCGGCUAACUUCGUG